This 1287-nucleotide ribosomal RNA is filed under the name Triticum aestivum (bread wheat). Its description in RNAcentral is "partial small subunit ribosomal RNA". Lineage: Eukaryota; Viridiplantae; Streptophyta; Magnoliopsida; Poales; Poaceae. The record is from RNAcentral.
AUGGCCUCCCAACUAGGGCCGCCGACGGCGAGAUAUGCCCCACCUGCUCCCAGCACCAUCACUUCUAUAGGCGACGACCUUCUCCGCGAGAUCUUCCUCCAUCUCCCCUCCCUACCGAGCCUCGUCCGCGCCGCCCUUGCCUGCCGCACCUUCCUCCACGCUGUCCGUUCGUCCCCCGUCUUCCGCCGGGGAUUCCGGUCGCUCCACCCAUCCCCAUUCCUUGGCCUCUUUAUCGAGUCCUACAGCUGUUCCCUCCCUUCUUUCGUCCCCCUCCGCCGCCGGUCCGACCCGGACCUCGCCGCCGCAAUACGCGGCGGCGAUCUCUUCCUCACCCGACUCCCGGAGGACAACGACGACCCCUCUCCCGGGUGGGAGAUCCAGGGCUGCCAAGACGGCUACGUCGUCCUGCUCAACCGGAGCACCGAGCAGAUUGCCGCCUACAACCCCCUCACACUGGCUCUGGAUUUCCUCCCUCCACUGCCCCAUGAGAUGUCCCGCUCCCGCUCCCUCGAGAUCCACGUCGUCUUCUCCCAAGAGGGCCAGGGGUCGUUCCGUGCGGUCUGCGUCCGCCACGGCAGGUCCCUGCGGCGGGCGCGGGCGCGCAUCGCCGUCUUCUCAUCGGACGACAGGGGCAAGGGGUGGCUGGUUAUGCCGGCGGUGGACACCGCGACGCCACAGCCUGGGGAUGGUGGAGUUGACAAGCCCAUGUUUCACACUGGCACCCUGGUGAAUGGAUUCAUCUAUUGGAAGCGCAAGACCCAGGCCUGCAUGCUCGUGCUCAACACUGCGACAUUGCAGUUCUCUGAAAUGGAUUUGCCGCAGCCCCUAAAAGGGAAACACUCCACAAACUUCAGGCUUGGUCAGACCAAGGACGGCGAGCUCUGUAUCGUUUGCGCAGACGACUCCCGUGCAAAGGAGUGGACGCUUGCUGUUUGGUUCUGGAGAGCCGACGAUGGCGGUGUCAAGAGAUGGAUGGAGAAGAGGUUUCCGUUGCACAAGUUUGUUGAGUUCACCGAGUGUUCAGGAGAAGAUCAUGUCGUGGUGAACAGUUUGGCAGUUGUCGACGGCUUUGUGUACCUGUCUAGUUACUGUCACGCAAGUACUGAAUCUCCUGAGUGGUUUCUAUCCUUCUGCCUUGAAACAGCGGAGCUUAUCAAACUCUUCCGGGGUACAUUUGACAGCCCUCUCCAUCCCUACAUCAUGGCCUGGCCACCUUCUUUGGUAUGCAACAAGGAGGAUUCAGAGACCAAAGUAACUGGGGCCAAUGUUGUAGAAGAUGGUUUGUAA